GGCAAUUAAAAGGGGGUAAAAUAAUAAUUUUACAAUUAUCACAUUAAAUAAAUAAAUAAAUAAUUCGAAAAAAAUAAAAUUAAAAAUAAAAAGGGCUUCUCUUCCUAGCCAACAGUUGGACGGACGGCACACUGUUAGCAACAUUGCCUCCUCGCCAACGACUAACCGUUAUUGCCCAUAGUAGCCAUCAUCCCCAUCCUAAUCCACAAUUUUGCAUUUAAACCGUCACCACCACGGUCAACCGGUUAGCACAGCCACCACCAUUACACGUGACAAUCGCAUGUAAACCACCACCACUACAAUCAAACCAAAACCAACCACCACCAUCAAACCAAAAUGAACCACCAAAAAUUAAUUUCACUGUUAUACGACCCAACACUAUAUUUAAAUGUCGACAAUUAUUAAGCAACUUAGGGAUAGAAAAUGAUUCAAAAAUUGCGGGAAGCCGUGAGAAGUUAAGGUAAUUUAAAAUACAACACAAGCAAUACAAGAUGCUCGUGUUCGACGGAGAAGAUCUAGAGGAUCGGGUGUUUAGGGUAGGAAAUGGCCAAGUUUUUCUCACGUCAGGGAAUAAUGGUGGAUUUGGACGGAAUCUUUGAUUUUCCAUUUAAUAGUGGAGAAGAUGGCGCAAGUGGUGGGGGUGACAAUUGCUGUGGGCAAUAGUGGUUAGUCGUCAGCGAGGAGGCGACGCUGGUGUCAACAGUGUGUCGGCAUUGCUGUUGACUGGGAAGAGAAGCCCUUUUUAUUCUUUUUCUAAUUUUUUGUUUAUUUAUUU
Molecule: long non-coding RNA, 775 nt
Filed under: Olea europaea subsp. europaea
Lineage: Eukaryota; Viridiplantae; Streptophyta; Magnoliopsida; Lamiales; Oleaceae
Source: RNAcentral